Fukomys damarensis (Damara mole-rat) is the source of this 525-nucleotide long non-coding RNA. RefSeq lists it as uncharacterized. The transcript is spliced from 3 exons. The record is from RefSeq and is a predicted model, not a curated record. NCBI's taxonomy places the organism in Eukaryota, Metazoa, Chordata, Mammalia, Rodentia, Bathyergidae.
GCCAAGUAGGAGCUCCACCCCCAGGUCCUCAACACCAACUGUGGGAAAAUAUGGUUGGGAGGAUUGACAAACAGUAUUAAACACGGACAGAGCUUGAGAGCAGCUGUAAGUCUGGGCCUGGAACACUGGGGAGUAUGGGAAGGAGACAAAUGGGCCCGAAGACGCCCAGUGCCCCUCCAUAUCCCUGGAAGACAUCUGUACCUGGGAGGAGCAGGAGCCCUUGGGAGAGUCACUGCUGAACCUGUUAAAAACCCGCUCUCCAGACCGGAGCCAUUCACACAAUGAUAAAGAGGCACUGGGCACUUAGAAUAUGUCUGCAGAAUAAUAAAAGAAUGGGUGGGGCGAAGCCAGGUCUGACCUCCAUAGUGAUACGACCAUCACCUUGCAGAACAGAAGAACAAUAAGGCAUGGAACAGGAAGAAUCAAGCCAGCUGUUCUUGAAUCCAUCACUCACUUUUAAAAAUAAAUUGGACCUCCUGCCUGCAAAGCAAACUCUCUCUAAGAUACAACUGAGCCUUCAGCAGA